This 440-nucleotide ribosomal RNA is filed under the name uncultured bacterium. RNAcentral describes it as "partial 16S ribosomal RNA". It matches the Rfam family "Bacterial small subunit ribosomal RNA", at positions 339 to 795 of the family's 1533-position model. The record is from RNAcentral.
CUACGGGUCGCUCCAGUAAAGAAUCUUCCACAAUGGACGAAAGUCUGAUGGAGCGACACCGCGUGCAGGAUGAAGGCCCUUGGGUUGUAAACUGCUUUUUUGGGGGAAUAAUUAUGAAUGUACCCUAAGAAUAAGUACCGGCAAAUCAUGUGCCAGCAGCCGCGGUAAUACAUGAGGUACAAACGUUACCCGGAAUUAUUGGGCGUAAAGCGUCCGUAGGUGGCGUAUUAAGUCAGGUGUUAAAUCUUGAGGCUCAACAUCAAGUCUGUGCCUGAAACUGAUAUGCUAGAGUGUUGGAGAGGUGAAUGGAAUUUUGUGUGUAGGGGUAAUAUCCGUAGAUACACAAAGGAACACCAAAAGCGAAGGCAGUUCACUGGCCAAUUACUGACACUGAUGGACGAAAGCGUGGGGAGCGAACGGGAUUAGGUACCCGCGUAGUC